Molecule: long non-coding RNA, 303 nt
Filed under: Brassica napus (rape)
Lineage: Eukaryota; Viridiplantae; Streptophyta; Magnoliopsida; Brassicales; Brassicaceae
Description: long non-coding RNA (BNAP_LNC016271)
Source: RNAcentral
CCACCAACGACGGAGCAACGGUCGGAAACCUAGUCCCUUUUUAAUAAUCGUCUUUUUAUCGCCUAGAGAGAGAAAAUAAAUUUCACUCGAACUUUUUCUGGUAUGUUAACUAAUGUUAGUUCUAUAUUAUGUUUAUGUUGUAAUAGAUUAGAUAGAUGAUGGAAACUAAAAAGUAUUUUUGGAGCAUUUUCAUCGUGGAGGGAUCUUCCGAUAAGUAUAUAUAGCAUAUAUAUAUAUUUUUUUGGAACACAUAUAUAUAGCAUAUUUAAUACUAAUAAUUUUAGUAUGGUCUAAUACUAAUUA